UAAUACGUAGGGUGCAAGCGUUAAUCGGAAUUACUGGGCGUAAAGCGUGCGCAGGCGGUGAGAUAAGUCAGCUGUGAAAGCCCCGGGCUCAACCUGGGAACUGCGGCCGAAACUGUCUCGCUAGAGUACGUCAGAGGGGGGUGGAAUUCCACGUGUAGCAGUGAAAUGCGUAGAGAUGUGGAGGAACACCAAUGGCGAAGGCAGCCCCCUGGGAUGAUACUGACGCUCAUGCACGAAAGCGUGGGGAGCAAACAGGAUUAGAUACCCUGGUAGUCCACGCCCUAAACGAUGUCGACUAGCCGUUGGAGACCUCGGUCUUUGGUGGCGCAGCUAACGCGUGAAGUCGACCGCCUGGGGAGUACGGUCGCAAGAUUAAAACUCAAAGGAAUUGACGG
This 395-nucleotide ribosomal RNA is filed under the name bacterium enrichment culture. Its description in RNAcentral is "bacterial SSU rRNA". It matches the Rfam family "Bacterial small subunit ribosomal RNA", at positions 521 to 916 of the family's 1533-position model. The record is from RNAcentral.